AGCUUUGUGCAGUGGCAGUAUCAUAGCCAAUGAGGUUUAUCCAAGACAUGAUAAUUGCUAACUGCAAACAGUAUG
This 75-nucleotide small nuclear RNA is filed under the name Chlorocebus sabaeus (green monkey). RNAcentral's name for it is "U4 spliceosomal RNA (ENSCSAG00000019876.1)". It matches the Rfam family "U4 spliceosomal RNA". From Rfam's summary of the family: U4 small nuclear RNA (U4 snRNA) is a component of the major U2-dependent spliceosome. The structure of U4 snRNA from yeast and human has been reported. Lineage: Eukaryota; Metazoa; Chordata; Mammalia; Primates; Cercopithecidae. The record is from RNAcentral.